GCUAUUCUGUUCGAUUUCUUGUCGGCAUAUUCUUGAUCCGAAUCUUUGGAUGGAAAAGAUUUGAUCCGAUCUUUAGACAGAAAACUAUCAGUUCCAACUCUUAGUCGGCAUGCUACACUCUUUGAUCCCUCCUCGAAAGCAGGUUGAUUGGACGCAGAUUCAAAAAGCAGCGCCAACUGACCGUAGUUGUCAACACUACCUGACCAUAGCUGUCAAUACUAUUUGAAUGUA
This 231-nucleotide long non-coding RNA is filed under the name Elaeis guineensis (African oil palm). RNAcentral describes it as "long non-coding RNA (EGUI_LNC010919)". Lineage: Eukaryota; Viridiplantae; Streptophyta; Magnoliopsida; Arecales; Arecaceae. The record is from RNAcentral.